This is a long non-coding RNA of Cucumis sativus (cucumber), 394 nucleotides long. RefSeq lists it as uncharacterized. The transcript is spliced from 4 exons. NCBI's taxonomy places the organism in Eukaryota, Viridiplantae, Streptophyta, Magnoliopsida, Cucurbitales, Cucurbitaceae. The record is from RefSeq and is a predicted model, not a curated record.
AAAAGUUACAAAAAGGGUCAUAAUCACUUGAGAUCGUCCAUCAGAAGUGUUAACAUAGAUCUCUAUGCCGAUGAGGAUUUGGGCAACACACCUAUGAACGAAGAAGUGAAGGAGGAGAUUGUAGUUUACCUAUUCCAGUGAAGGGCAAGAUAGAGACUUUAAAUCAAGCAUUAGAGGAUUAAAAACAUGGCAAGCUAAGCAUGAUUUACAACAUUAUCGGUCAAAUCCGAAAUGGAAACCUAUAAAGUGUCCUCGUCAAUUGGAUUCGGUUGGGUGUGGGUAUUAUGUCCAAAAGUAUAUACAUGAAAUCGUGCAUAAUUCUAGUACUCCCAUCACUAGCCUUGUAAGUUUCUACUUUCACUUUUUAUAUGUUACAAAUUACAUAAAUUAUCUA